AGUGAACGCUGGCGGCGUGCCUAACACAUGCAAGUCGAGCGAAGUACCUGCUCCCGCAAGGGAGUAAGGGCUUAGCGGCAGACGGGUGAGUAACACGUAGACAAUCUACCUUCCAGAGGGGGAUAGCCCGCCGAAAGGCGGGGUAAUACCGCGUACGAUCAGGAUCCGGCAUCGGGAUCUGAUGGAACAUCCGCAAGGAUGGCUGGAAGAGGAGUCUGCGGCCUAUCAGCUAGUUGGCGGGGUAACGGCCCACCAAGGCAACGACGGGUAUCCGACCUGAAAGGGUGACCGGACUCACUGACACUGAGACACGGGUCAGACUCCUACGGGAGGCAGCAGUGAGGAAUUUUGGACAAUGGGGGAAACCCUGAUCCAGCGACGCCGCGUGAAGGAUGAAGGUCUUCGGAUUGUAAACUUCUUUUGCCUGGGAAUAACUCCCCGUGGAAACACGGGGAAUGAAUGUACCAGGCGAAUAAGCCACGGCUAACUUCGUGCCAGCAGCCGCGGUAAUACGGAA
Molecule: ribosomal RNA, 517 nt
Filed under: uncultured bacterium
Lineage: Bacteria
Description: bacterial SSU rRNA
Rfam family: Bacterial small subunit ribosomal RNA
Source: RNAcentral